GAAAAUAAAAAAGAAAUAAAAAUCAUAUUAAUAUAAAUAAAAAGUAAUAAAAGAGAAGAGAAGAAAAAUAGAACGGGAGAAGAAGAAAAUAAGAAAGAAAUAUAAUGAAUUAGAAAUGUAGAGGUGAAAAUAAAAUAGGCAAGAAAUAAAUACAAAAUGAAAGAGAAUAAAUAAGAAAAAAAGGAAAAACCAUAUUAAUGGGCUAAACUUCAACAGAUCAGCCUACAAAGUUGGAGAAAUGGGCCGCACUCAACUAUAUAGGCCGCGCACAACAUCCCUUCUAAAUGGCCCAAAAGUGGUAAAUAAGCCAAUUCAUACCUCCAGCGUUGCUCAAGCGAUAUUUAUCCAUCACAUAUACCACAUAUAGCCUCC
Molecule: long non-coding RNA, 372 nt
Filed under: Setaria viridis
Lineage: Eukaryota; Viridiplantae; Streptophyta; Magnoliopsida; Poales; Poaceae
Description: long non-coding RNA (SVIR_LNC004950)
Source: RNAcentral